This 253-nucleotide ribosomal RNA is filed under the name uncultured bacterium. Its description in RNAcentral is "partial 16S ribosomal RNA". It matches the Rfam family "Bacterial small subunit ribosomal RNA", at positions 524 to 776 of the family's 1533-position model. The record is from RNAcentral.
UACGUAGGGUCCGAGCGUUAUCCGGUAUUAUUGGGCGUAAAGAGUACGUAGGCGGUUUGAUAAGACAAUGGUUAAAUCUCCGGGCUUAACCCGGAAAGGUCAGCCGAUACUGCGGGGCUAGAGUGCAGAAGGGGCAACUGGAAUUCUCGGUGUAGCGGUGAAAUGCGUAGAUAUCGAGAGGAACACCUGCGGCGAAGGCGGGUUGCUGGGCUGACACUGACGCUGAGGCGCGAAAGCUAGGGGAGCGAACGGG